RNAcentral lists this ribosomal RNA (498 nucleotides) under uncultured bacterium. RNAcentral's name for it is "partial 16S ribosomal RNA". It matches the Rfam family "Bacterial small subunit ribosomal RNA", at positions 30 to 523 of the family's 1533-position model. The record is from RNAcentral.
AUUGAACGCUGGCGGCAUGCCUUACACAUGCAAGUCGAACGGUAACAGGUCUUCGGAUGCUGACGAGUGGCGAACGGGUGAGUAAUACAUCGGAACGUGCCUAGUAGUGGGGGAUAACUGCUCGAAAGAGUGGCUAAUACCGCAUGAGAUCUACGGAUGAAAGCAGGGGAUCGCAAGACCCUGUGCUACUAGAGCGGCCGAUGGCAGAUUAGGUAGUUGGUGGGAUAAAAGCUUACCAAGCCGACGAUCUGUAGCUGGUCUGAGAGGACGAUAAGCCACACUGGGACUGAGACACGGCCCAGACUCCUACGGGAGGCAGCAGUGGGGAAUUUUGGACAAUGGGCGAAAGCCUGAUCCAGCAAUGCCGCGUGCAGGAUGAAGGCCUUCGGGUUGUAAACUGCUUUUGUACGGAACGAAAAGCCCCGGGUUAAUACCCUGGGGUCAUGACGGUACCGUAAGAAUAAGCACCGGCUAACUACGUGCCAGCCGCCGCCGUAA